RNAcentral lists this transfer RNA (72 nucleotides) under Candidatus Omnitrophota bacterium. RNAcentral describes it as "Candidatus Omnitrophica bacterium tRNA-Thr". It matches the Rfam family "tRNA". Rfam says of the family: Transfer RNA (tRNA) molecules are approximately 80 nucleotides in length. Their secondary structure includes four short double-helical elements and three loops (D, anti-codon, and T loops). RNAcentral also lists the same sequence under 1 other name. The record is from RNAcentral. Lineage: Bacteria; Pseudomonadati; Candidatus Omnitrophota.
GCCGGGAUAGCUCAGUGGUAGAGCAGGUGCUUCGUAAGCAUCAGGUCGAGAGUUCGAAUCUCUCUCCCGGCU